Molecule: ribosomal RNA, 494 nt
Filed under: uncultured bacterium
Lineage: Bacteria
Description: partial 16S ribosomal RNA
Rfam family: Bacterial small subunit ribosomal RNA
Source: RNAcentral
GACGAACGCUAGCGGCGCGCUUAACACAUGCAAGUCGAACGGAAAGGCCUGCUUUCCCUUGUGGAUUGCGGGUACUCGAGUGGCGAACGGGUGAGUAACACGUGAGUGAUCUGCCCCCAACUUGGGUAUAAGCCUGGGAAACUGGGUCUAAUUCCCGAUAGGACUGCAGGGUGGUGCCUGUGGUGGAAAACGAUUUUCUAGUGGUUGGGGAUGAGCUCGCGGCCUAUCAGCUUGUUGGUGGGGUAAUGGCCUACCAAGGCGGCGACGGGUAGCCGGCCUGAGAGGGUGGACGGCCACAUUGGGACUGAGAUAAGGCCCAGACUCCUGCGGGAGGCAGCAGUGGGGAAUAUUGCACAAUGGGCGGAAGCCUGAUGCAGCGACGCCGCGUGGGGGAUGACGGCCGUCGGGUGGUAAACUCCUUUCGACCGAGAGGAAGCCACCUGGUUGGAAGGGUGGUGACGGUAGUGGUAGAAGAAGCACCGGCUAACUACGUG